Molecule: ribosomal RNA, 329 nt
Filed under: uncultured eukaryote
Lineage: Eukaryota
Description: partial 18S ribosomal RNA
Rfam family: Eukaryotic small subunit ribosomal RNA
Source: RNAcentral
CCCUUAGAUGUUCUGGGCCGCACGCGCGCUACACUGGUGCGUUCAACAAGUUUACAACCUUGAUUGACAAGUCUGGGUAAUCUUUUGAAUGCGCACCGUGCUAGGGAUAGAUUAUUGCAAUUAUUAAUCUUGAACGAGGAAUUCCUAGUAAACGCAAGUCAUCAGCUUGCAUUGAUUACGUCCCUGCCCUUUGUACACACCGCCCGUCGCACCUACUGAUUGAAUGGUCCGGUGAAGCGUUCGGACCGUGGCCUUUGGACGGUUCGCCGUCUGUUGGCUGCGGGAAGUUCGUUAAACCUUAUCAUUUAGAGGAAGGAGAAGUCGUANCA